Molecule: ribosomal RNA, 415 nt
Filed under: uncultured archaeon
Lineage: Archaea
Description: partial 16S ribosomal RNA
Rfam family: Archaeal small subunit ribosomal RNA
Source: RNAcentral
GCGCAGCAGGCGCGAACCCUCCGCAAUGCGCGACAGCGUGACGGGGUCAUCCCGAGUGCCGCCCGCUGAGGACGGCUUUUCCCCAGUGUAAGGAACUGGGGGAAUAAGGGGAGGGCAAGUCUGGUGUCAGCCGCCGCGGUAAUACCAGCUCCCCGAGUGGUGGGGAUGAUUACUGGGCCUAAAGCGUCCGUAGCCGGCUUGGCAAGUCUUCCGUUAAAUUCGAUGAUUUAAUCGUCGGACUGCGGGAGAUACUACCAAUCUAGGGGGCGGGAGAGGCCGGCGGUAGUCCCGGGGUAGGGGUGAAAUCCUAUAAUCCCGGGAGGAGCACCAGUGGCGAAGGCGGCCGGCCAGAACGCGCCAGACGGUGAGGGACGAAAGCUUGGGGAGCGAACCGGAUUAGAUACCCCUGGAGUCC